RNAcentral lists this long non-coding RNA (205 nucleotides) under Lathyrus oleraceus (garden pea). RNAcentral's name for it is "Pisum sativum (pea) long non-coding RNA (PSAT_LNC011226)". Lineage: Eukaryota; Viridiplantae; Streptophyta; Magnoliopsida; Fabales; Fabaceae. The record is from RNAcentral.
CCAUUCAUCCGUUGAUGUCUGGUCGAGUCUUUCCUAUUCGUCUGUUGAUGUCUGGUCGUGGUUUCUCUUCUCAUUCAUCGUCUUUCAAUGUCCGGUCGUGGCUUCUUUCUCCCUUUCAUCCGUUGAUGUCUGGUCGAGUUCUUCCUAUUCGUCCUUUGGCGUCUAGUCGUGGUUUCUUUAUUCCUAUUCGUCCGUUGACGUCUAG